UUAGGAUCAGUUUCGUCUCGUCUCCCACGCACGUUGCUCGUCUUUGUAGAUUUCAAUUAAGAAUUUUUACGGUGAAAUCAUGAAGCAUAAGUUAACGAACCAACAAGUGAGUCAGAUCCUUCACGUGGGUGUUUAUUUUAAAACAUGUCGAAGAAAAAAAGCAAGCAUGACAGAAGAGUAUAAAAAUAAACUACGUAGUGCAGCUGACACUUUCCUGAGUGACUGGAUUGUAAAUGGGGUUCCAUUUGAAAUGUUGGAGAAGAUAAAGAGCUCAUCACCAAGUUUAAUAACGCUUUUCCGUCUUAAGCAGCGACCGUUACCAAAUAUUGGCAACAAUAUUGGUAUUGAAAAUUCCCAAUCAUCAUUGCUAAAUUGCUCAGCAGCUGCAAGACUAUUGUCAAGUAACGAAGAGGCACAAUAUAGGUCAUCCAACUGUAACAUUGAUUCCAUGCCUAAUAACCAGCCCAAAGCUUUUGGAAAUAAUGCAUCAUCCAUUAUGGAAGAGCCUCAACAGUGUGAUCAAGAACAACCGGACACAAAUCAGAUAAAGAUGCCACAAGCAAUCAUCCUUCCUUAAUAGUUGAUUCUGAAGAAGAUGUGGAAGACGAAGGAGGAGUACCUGUUGCUUUCUUGGGUCCAGAUAACAAUAGCUGGACCGACCAAAAUCUCAGCCUUAAGACAAUACUUCAACAUUAUGCUGUAUACACAGACACGAAACUGAGUCACAUGACCUAUUUACUCGGGCUGUUAAUCUUUCACAAACCUUUACCGGACUAUUACUGUUUGCCGAGUACUGGAGAACAACUGCUGCAUAUAGACGGGAGGGAUUUUGUCGGUUUAUCAUCGGACAUGGAAGCUACUUUGGAUGAAGAAAACAAUGUCCAGGAAGAAACCUCGACGGAUAAUCAGCCCUUAAGACGAAAAAAAAAACCCACUGCCGGCCACAGUUGAUUUGCAUGACGGCUACGGAAAUGUCGUGAAGUACAUGCAUUUUGGGCUUGAAUCAGCUCUUAAAGGAGAUUCACCCGGUCUAUAUUUCAAGCACUCCAACCUUCUUCAAUAUGCAUCGAUUUAUGCGACUAAACCGGAACUUUUACCAGAUAGUAUCAGGAAGAAGAUUGAGACUUUUGACAGUGACCUUCAAAUUAGAAAGGCAAAAGAGUCACUACUACGGUCAGCCGAAAAUAUCGUUCCAGAAGUGCUGAAUGAAGCAAACAUACGCGCAAUCCCUCACUUUACAAUCGAUUUCAGCUUGGAUGGUGUACAGAUUUUCCACAAUUCAGAACAGUCUGAAUGUAUACCAAUAAUGGUUGCAGUUCACGCAAUAAACAAAGCCAACUGCGAAAUCACUCGUACGUCAUCUGUUUAAUGAGCUCAGCCGACUAUGCCCUGACAACCGCAAUCCUAAGGAAACAGCUGGUCGUGAAUUUACAGUAUCGCUAAGAUGUGCCGUAGCUGACUGGAUUUUUCGAGCGUUUUUAAAAACUAUAAAAGGCCCUACUGGAUUUUGGUGUUGCGAGCGAUGCAUCCAGCGCGGGGUAUGUUGCGCUUUACCCCGACCCAAAAAUUCCCAAAAAAAAGAGUCAAAAACCGUGCAACUGAGAGAUCUGAAUGCUCCACGACGUCUGAAUGAAGAUUUCUUAAAGUAUGUAAAAAGUGACGAUUGUUCAGAUGAACAUCUUCUAGGUCUGAACGAUCUGUCUCCUUUUAUUGACAUAAAUUUUCCUGUGGUUUCCGGAUUCAGCAUAGAUGCCAUGCACACAAUGUAUGCCGGGUGCCUUAGGCGAAGGUUAAUUGGAAUUGUUUCACUAACAACAGAAGGAAAAUUGAAUAGUACUAGUUUAGCUGCUGUUAAUACCAGAUUGAAGCUUUUCGAAAAAUGCAAACCAUCCGAAUUCGAGAGACAUGUUCGCUCUCUGUCUAAUUGUAUUGAGAAAUAUAAAAUGCAUGAGCUUCGGGAUUUUCUAAUGUACAACCUUUUCCCUGUUUUUUCUGGAAUCCUUCAAGGUAACCAGUUAGAAAACAUAAUGCUAUUGCAGUAUGGCAUGUUGUUGUUGGGUGGGUUUGAUCCAAAGCCAGUUCCAACCGCAGAUAUUUUGGAAGCUACGCGCGUUUUUUAAUUAUACGUUCAACAAAUAAUCGAUUUUGGUUAUCCUGUUCGACCCACCAUUCACGCUAUUAUACAUCUGCCAGAGGAUGCGAACAAUUUUGAAUGUGGAGUUGAAUGCCAGAGCGCAAUUUUGUAUGAAAAUUUUUAUCGUUUUUUCCGCAGAAGUCUAAGAUCCGGUAGUAAGCCAUUGGAACAGUAUAGAAACCAGCUUGUUCGGCGUAGUAAAUAUUUAUUACAAACCGCGUCUGACGGGACAAUAUUAGAGACGGGACAGCAAUUCAAAAUGGAAGUAAAAAAACGAGAGCUAGAACGGUCCGAUAGAAAAAUAGUUCUAAACUUUUCCAUUCGUAACGCCAAAAGUGACAACCACCAUAAAGUUAUGAAAUUCCCAGAAUUUUCCUUGUCCAACAUGUUCCCAAUUAAUGUUUGCAUGUUAAAAAAUGGAAAAAUUGUGGUGUGUACUGAUAUAGUUGAAUAUCCGAAAGGAAGCAAGAUAUUUAGUAUCGUGGGUUUCAGAUUUCUAACUGUCGAAAACGCAUUUGCAACACCAUACCCAUCUUAUAAAUUCAAAACACAUGUUGUAUCUAAAUUGGAUCAUGCAGUUGAUGAAUGGAAUGUGAAUAGCAUUAUGUGUAAAAUGUAUGCUAUGCCGCUUAAAUUGUCUGAUUAUGGUAGUUUACCGGACAUUACAGUGUCUCUCUCAUCUGUUAAAUGGGUUGUCACACCAGUUAGACAUACGUUAUAAAUUUUUCCGUGGUAACUAGUAUUUAAUAAACAAAUUUUCAAAAUGAC
Molecule: unclassified non-coding RNA, 2902 nt
Filed under: Daphnia magna
Lineage: Eukaryota; Metazoa; Arthropoda; Branchiopoda; Diplostraca; Daphniidae
Description: uncharacterized LOC116917666, transcript variant X1
Source: RNAcentral